This is a long non-coding RNA of Orcinus orca (killer whale), 18849 nucleotides long. RefSeq lists it as uncharacterized. The transcript is spliced from 2 exons. Lineage: Eukaryota; Metazoa; Chordata; Mammalia; Artiodactyla; Delphinidae. The record is from RefSeq and is a predicted model, not a curated record.
GAUGAGUGAUUGCUUCAUGACUGCUUUUUUUUUUUUUUUUUUAAAGGAAAAGUCUCACGUUGGUUGAGCUGGGCUGAAACGGUCUGGGCAGAAGUUGUUUUGGCAACUUUACCUGAAUUUAUGUAUGGUUCAUAAAAGUUUGGUCAAUCAUUACAUGGCUAGAAAUUUGUGUUUGUGGGGUGGAGGGUUGUUAUAAAACUAGGGUGGUGAUAUCUGAGGACCUUUUCAGUUAGUGUCUCAAAACACUAUUAUUAGAGUUGCCAUGGAAUUAAACACCUUUUGCAUUCUUAUUCUUGUAACUGGUAUUAUAUACCUAAAUAAUCAUUUUGGGAAAGUAGAGGGUAAGUCUAAUGUAAGUAUAUUUAACAUUAAUUUGAUCUGCAUGGAAAAUGGAGAGAGUAAUAAAAUGACCACAGAACUCAACAGAGAAGAAACCAUUGCUUUUGUAACCUGGUGUCUACCUCUUGGUUUCCUCUCCAGGAAUACUUGCUGAAGCUGAAACUCUAUCCUGUAGUUAGUGUAGGCGCACAGGGAGUCCUCUUCCUGCCUGGGUAGUGUCAUCUGUAGCAUUAAUGCCAAUAGUGUGCUUGGCCUUCAUGAGAAAAAAAAAAAAAAUCACUGAAUAUUUUUCUCAAGUGGAAAACACCUUGAUCCAAAGCCCACUCAUUGUUCAUUGGAGAUGGUCCCCACUUCAGCUCUGAGCACAGCUGUUCCUUAAGGUAUUUCUUCUGUUCAGUUUCACACAGAGACAAGCCUUUUACUCCGCUUUGCUGUUAACAGCCUUGUCAGAUCAUUCAUUUCUUCACUGGUAAAUCUCAAGCAUUGUUCCCCCUGUAUAAUCUUUUUCCCAGAGAAUGAGAAAGGCGUGGAAAGAUGUGUUUCAGAUGGGUGGACUCAACUGCGGUGGUUAUGUGUCAAGUAAAACUGACUGUGGGCAUCAUGGUGUAUUUCUGGAAGAGAUCCUGUUCCUAUUGUGUCUUCUUUAAUGUUGGCUUAUUUUAGCACAAAUGAAUGAGGUACCGGGAGUGAAGAAGCAGAAUGCAAGGGUAAAUGGAAUUGGGAAUAUUUUAUAAAUGUCGAAGAACUCACUAAGGAUACUUGAAGGGAAGAGCUUUCCUCUUCCCAUCCCAACCCAAAAGGGAUACUUGUUUUAUAAACAUUAUACUGUACUUUAGAAAUAAUAUUCAAAUGAUAUGUUUUACUUGACAGUUCAAAAGCAAAAGUUAGGUUUUUUUCUAGAUGAAUCAAAAAAACUUGACUCUGAAAGUUUUUUGUAUAUAUGUAAUAUAUAUACGAUUUUGUCAUUUUAUAUAUAUAUAUAUAAUUAUAUAUAAUUUUGUCAACCAUUGUGUUUCUUGCAUAGUUUCACUUAGCUGAGGGGAGGUAUAUACAUAAUUGUUUUUUCCUACCAAACUACAUAUUUUUAAUUUGACUUUUGAUUUUUUACGUUAGAUACACUUCCUAAUAUGUAGUCUAAUUCAAAAGGAAAAAUGAUAUAAUUUCUCCUGGCAUACAAAAGAUUACAGACUUAUAAAAAUAUCUGAGUCAGGUCAGAAAAGAUCAUUUAAAAGGGGUACCUUGUCAAGAUUAGGGACCAAAAGAUUUUGUAAAAAUAGCUUCUAAACAAAAAUUGCAUUUGAUAUUUUCAUUUGGAUAUAGUAUACGGAAAAGCAAGUCUUUCCUUAAAAAUGAUUUUCUCUUUGUAGGAUCUAAACUAUUUUAUAACGCUUUCGUUCUCACGUAAUGUGGUAACAACUGAGAUUUUUAACAGCUUUUUCUUUUUUUUUUUUUUAAUACAUAGAAAGAGUAACAUGAAAUAUUUUAGCAGAGUUUAAGAAAGAGACCCACGGUAAUGGGCAUUAAAGUAUUAGAGCAGGCCUGAAUAUAAAUGAGAAAUUAGGAGCAAUUGAAAGGUUGUAAAGAUAAUAUGGGGGGUUGGGUGGGGAGUUGAGGUACUAAAUAUUAGAUUUUCUACAAAUGUUACUCUUGCAUUCUCAUUUAAGUAUGAUUCCUAUGAAAUGAGGAUUCCACAGCUCCUGCUAGUUGCAUGUCAAAUUGUUAUGGAAAGUAGUUGUAAGGACAGACUUAUUUGUUGGAACCUGUGGGGCUUUAAUUUCUUUUGCCUGAGGGUGUGUUUAUUUGAAAAGUGUUUGCAGGGACAAAUUAUAUGAAGGUGAGAAAGGAUAGUACUUUUCUCUUCUUACUGUAAUUGAAUUCUUUCGCCUUUUUUUCCUUUUUACUCCCUCACCUUACUUAACCUGUUUUUCAUGUUUGACUGUAUUUUAUUGAGAAGGUGACAUGCAGGUCUCUUUUGCGGAGGGAGUGUUAUGGGGACAGUGGGCACGCCCCCGAGAUGAGCGUGGGAUAAACCUACCUUUAUGCCCCUCUCACCAGCUUCCCUCUUUGUAUUUAAAAGAACGUUGUCUUUAAAUUCUGCCCACAAGUAGCAUCUGUGUGAGGAUUUCCCCCUUAUGACAGAACCCACUUUUUGCUUUUCUUGCAUGUUCCUGGAAAGAAGGCUGUGAUGUCUCACGUUUUGGGGAAAAGAGAGUCAAAAACCCAUUUGAAGAUCUGAUCCCCAGCUCCUCUCAGGAGAAUGUACCUUCCACCCAUCCAGUUUGCAUACAGUUUUCUUAUGAAGCCCUGGCCUAGUUUGGAUUGAAUUUGUAUAUUGGAUAAUCUUGUAUUUCUUGGAGUUUAAAUCAUUCAGUAAAUAUGAACUGAGCCUCUAUCUUGUGCUAGAAAGCAGGGAUGAGAGAUGAAGUCGGACCCGAGAGAGACGGCGUGCCCUCUGAUGCCCUUUCCGGUUCUUCUCCCACCUUGGGCCUCUGCUUGGACAGCUCUUCCUCAGCCGUCCUCUUAGCUGACCCACUCUCCACUCUUUGCGUAAAGCUUUCUUCUCAAGGAGGCUGGCUCUGCUCAUCUCGUUUCACAUACAAUCUGCCCUUCUGCUUUUGCAAAGCAUUUAUCAUCUAACCUACUCUAGAAUUUACUUACCGCAUUGUUCGUUUAUUAUCUGUUCACUCUGGUAGAUUGUUAAGCCCUGUGAGGGCAGGGGUCUUGGAUGUCUCUCCAUUAUCCCAAUUACCUAGAACAGCAUCGUAGGUGAUUAGCAAGUGGACAGAUGCUUGCUGUGGAAGCGCAUCAUCCAGCUGUUUCACAUCCCAUGUGACUCUGGAAGUGAGCCACGUGCUUGGUAUGUCUUGUGCAGGCACACGGCUGAAACAGCCCAUUCUGUUUUUAAACAUCACGGUUUAUUGUUAGUCACAUCAUUCACAUCUGAGGAAUCUUGACCUGGCCUUGACCAUUGCAUGCUGUGUCUCCAAAGCUGUUAUUUUUUACCCCAUUUCCUAGGACGGGUAGUUUUGCGGGUGGGAAAGCAUGUUGAGCUGAGAGUGUACUCUGUCAGCCACUUAAGCAAAGUUAAUAGAGCACAUGUCAAGAUCAGCAAGUGUCCUCGGGCACAGAUUUUAUGCUGUCCCUCCCCCUCUUUUAUCUCCUCUUUGCAUGGAAGCUAAAAUCACAGAUAUCAGCAUCACAUUUCAUUUUCCCACAGCCCAGUAAAGCCCCGUUUUACCUUCUUUGGAGAGAACCUCUUCCCCGUCUGGUGCAGGUGAACGGUGUGAUGGGGGUGCACAAUGGGUGGUACAUGCUCCUUAGGGGAGCUCUUGAAAGACCAUCUUCCUGCUCUUUCUGCAUUCAGCGGUGCUUCCAUAUUUCCCCUGACACAAGGAAAUGAGCUGAUGGAAGUGGGGAUUUAGGGAUAAGAGAAUCAAACUGUAUUCCUUUCAUAAGUAAGCUGUCCAGUGGGGCUAUUUCUUGAGACAGUAUUUUGAGAGCCUUUGAUUAAAGUCACACUAAUCCAGAAUAUUUAGACUAGUGAGAUUCCAUGACCACAUCAGUUUGUAUAGGAUGUUGAAAUCUGCUAGCUUGAGAGAGCACUUAGGAAUCUGAGUUCAUCCCCACUUCCAUCCCCCAUCUGCACACCCCUCCCCCAGCUCCCACUCUGGACUCUGACAGUAGGUCCCAGCUGGUCCUACAUAUAAAACAUAAAGCACACAUUUGGUGUGGGCUGUUUUAAACUUUGAUCAAAAUUCCUUCUAAACAGAAGAAGAGAAAAGCCUGCAGCUUGUGUUUGCUUUCAUGGUCUCCCCAGCCACGUGAUUUUUCCAUUUUUCACACUCAGCAUUUGAGUGUCCCUCCAUGUUGUCGCCCCCUGUCUAGAAAGCAAGGCUGUAAUACAUCACAUAGAUUGACUACACUGUACAGAGGUCGCAGAGGAUGGUGACCCGAUCCCAAAUUAUACACCUUUGCUGAGCCCCCUGGUCGGAACGUACUGCUGUUACUCACAGAAAUAGUCCCUGUGAAAGUAGUUUGCUUUGCUUCACGAAUUCCUGCCUUUAUGAAUUCUGUUUUAGUUCAGAAGCUGCCUUGUCAUAACUUUCCUCACCUUUUCUCCUGCUUAAGUGAGACUUUGCUGUGAAGCGGGAGGACUGUGGUUAACCGCCCCCAGUGAUGGGGUGAGACCUCUGGCUUUGGUGCUGACUCCCUGUUUUUCAUUGAUCACUGUGUUUUGGGAAGCAAGCAGGCCUGGUUGCAGGAUAUUUGAAGAUCAGGGCCUUGGAGUCCUGUCUUUAAUUUCUGACCCACCAGAAAAAUUAAUCAGAACAGUAGAGAUUUUUACCCAGAUGUAAACGUAUACCUGUUUUUUGUUUGUUUGUUUGGGGAUUUGUUUGUUUGUUUGUUUUUCUUUUUGGCCACACAGCAAGGCUUUCAGGGUCUUAGUUCCCCGACCAGGGAUUGAACCCGGGCCCCGGCAGUGAAAGAGCUGAGUCCUAACCACUGGACCGCCAGGAAAUUCCCGACAUGUAAGUGUUUGCCCUUCGUGUUUUAGUAGGAAGUGACAUCUGAAAGAUGUCAUCAAUAUAAUUGAUUAAAGAGCAGGCCUGAAAAAAACAAAUGUGGUGAUCAUUUUUGAUAAAAUCAGAUGAGCCUAACCAGUUCUCUUAUGACAGACUGUAUCACUCAGGCAUUUAGUUACAUAUGAUAACAGUUCUCCCUCUCAGGAGCACCAGCGUUUCUAUUCUUCUUACUAAAUUCUUGAUUUUUAAGACGUUUUCCCUGUUAAUUUUAAAUUUAAUUCUUUUGUUUCCCCAGAAAUGUGAAGGAGAAAGUAACCCUAAUAAACAAUUUCCAUAUCCACAGUUAUUUGAAAAGGAAAUUGAGAAGAAGAGAAAGUGUUCUCGCCUUUGCUGCUUUUUAGCAGAAAGGUUCUGCCCCGAGCUGGCCCAGCCAUGUUAGAAAUUAACAGGGCUCCCAGAGGUGGGAUGGGCAGGAAGGUCCCCUUGUCUCCCAGAGAGGAGAGGACUCCUCCCUCCCUCCUCCAGUCUGUUAUUAGACAGGAAGGAUUUGAUUCUCGCUUUCCUGGAGCUGCGGUGACAGCUAAGUUCAGGGUUACAGAUAAGACAUUAUUUGAGGAAAAGCUUUUCUGCCAGGCUACCAUGGCAUGUGUCAUUUAGAAUCACAGCUGUAGUAUGCAAAUUAUAUAUAUUUUUUUACUUAAGUGAGAUAUAUGUUCAGAGGCUUUCAUCAAGGCUGCUGGCUCUAGAGAUUUCACUCUGUGUUCUUUUUUCCAAAAUGGGUAAAGGGUCCAAUGUCCAUGUCUGUAUAACCAAAUAAAGCCCUCACACUUCUGAUUCGAGCAGGAGCUGUGUAAGUGGAGUGAUCCUAUUUUGUUUACUAGCAACCAAGGUAAUGUUGAUGUUCUAAUACAGUUUUCUUUGUCAUAAAAGUAGAAUUCUGUAUGUUAAAAGUGUUUCUAUUUUUAACUUUUUAGCUUAGUUGUCAACAGAUCCUUUGAUAACUUUGAAGUCGGUCUUCCCUUGUUUGUAGGUGAAUGCAUCUUUGUCUAAAACAGGCAAAAUUCUGAUUAACAAACACUUCUCCACUAACUCAGAGUUUGAGAAAAUAAAUGUUCAAAAUUCUGAAAUCCAACAACAAAUGGCACCUUAUAUGCUAAGUAGCUUCCAAAAAGGGGAGAAUCUGGUACCUCUGGCAAAUAAGAAUACCAAGUAUUAGAUGCCAUUUACAUAUCCAUGUUUUUCUCAGUAAAAGAAAGCAGAUGUUAGCAGUACAGCUGGCUGUUGCAUAUUUGUGUCUUUGUUGCUAACAAAUUUCCAUGAGGAAGGACGUAAAAUUGGUUUGAAGGCUAAAAUAGGAGAAAAUAACUUGGUAUUUUAACUAGAAAUGAGAAGGAUAAUUGCAUGAUGGAUUAUAUCUUAAUUUUUGAGGUCUUGAUUGAGUUUAUAGCAUUCAGUAUCAAAACAGUGUUUUCAGUUUCAAUAAAAUAAUCUAAAUAGAGAAGGUCAAAGCGAAUUAGAAAUUGACUGUAUUUUAAUUACUUGGGUACAGUUUCCCUAAAAUAUCGAGUUUAAUGAAAUGUUGUCAGAAUACUUUAUAAACGCAUCAUUCCUACUUACUGGUUGAUGUAAAAGACCGUGAUAUUUUGCUUCUGCUACAAUAAUUCCAUACACUGUACAUUUAAAAAAUGUUCUGAUGAAAUAUAACUUUGCAAUUAAAAACAAAACAAACAAGCAGCAGAUCUUUCUGUUUAAUUUUGCAUGGAGAACUUUGUCCUAGUGGCUUUAUGCCACCUAAAGUAUGGCUGUCGUUUUCAGGAAUACCUUCUCUGUUCUGUUUCUUGCUUGGGGGUGUUUGUAUUCAUCUAUUUAUCUCUUCUCAGUUGGUAGCUUGUAUUGUGCAAUGCUUAUAGAUUCUCCUGUCCUAUCAUAAUUUGAUGCGUAUUGAAGUUCCCACUGUGAGUUUAUUAACACUGUAUUGUAGAAGACUAUUUGUAAUUUGAUGAUCAAAUCUGAUAUCCAAGAUGGUAAAGAUGUAGCCAUAAGUGAAACAUAAAUCCCUGUGGUAUAUUAUUUGAAUCAGAAAUUCCACUCUGCUUUGCUUUCUGUAAAUUCCAUAACCCUUCUAAUCCCAGUGUUCUCUACUUUUAAAACAAGAAGUAGACGCUAUGUCUUCUGAAUUCUGGCUGUAUUUUUAUUUUAACCUCUUACUGACACUUGAUCAGUAAAAGUUUCUCCAUUCCUACUCAUAAGAAUUGUUGGAGAAACAAAACGCAGAAAGUGUAAGUUCUCACUAGUACUGUUUCCCCGGUAGUGCAACCCAGAAGCUAGAAGGGAAAAUAAUGAAGGAACUCAGAGAAAUAAGCAAAGAUGGUUGGGCAGAUGUGCUCACAUGACCUCACUGUAAGAUCUGAUUGGAGGUUGGUCCUUGGGAUGAUAUAGGAUUGUUGCUAAUGAAAGCGCCAAAUUGGUACCAAGUUUUUGCAAAUCUACAUACUGUAUGAUUUUAAGAUCUGUUUCACCAAGUGUGAGAAUUAUGCUCUAACUCUGUUGGUGGGCACUCAGCAGUUGCUGACAUCAAAAUUGAUUUGAGAUUCUUCCUGUUUUACACAUUGCAGUUUAUCAGCGAAUUCAAAGACAUUGAUGGAAUGCCUCUCUUGGACUGUGUCUGUGUGGCAUAGCUACAUUUGUUGACAUGGUAUGUGCUCAGAGUUCCUAGGGAUUUUUCUAGUGGGUUUUUCGUUAAAUUUUCCAAGGCAGAUAGAAGGUGAUGUUUUUAACAUUUGCCUAUUCAGGUUAUAAAGAUUUGUUUAUUCAGACCUCUUCAAAUUUAUGUGAUAGCAGUGUUAAAAUAUGUACGCAAGAGAUAACACAUUAGCAUAGGCAUUAUGUGAGUCUUCAUUGUAAAGCCAGAGGGACUGUUGGGUGGUCAGUGUUAUAUUCCAAAUUUUACCCUAAGGAGCAAAACUGCCAUAGUGCCUUCAUACUGCACGAGGUACCACCGUCACAGCGAGAGACAGUCAGCGUUGGUUCCAACUUGCUACUGGGUUUUGGAAAAUGCAAUCUUCAAAAUGACUUGAGGUUGUUCAUAAGAUAAUCUAUUGUGAAUCCGCAUUAAACCUGUUUAUUUUUUAACCUGUUUAAAAAUUUUCUAAUGUUUAAGAAUGUUGCUUCUUUAUCAGUAAAUAGUUCACUUGAAAUAUCUUUCUAUUCCUGUUCUUAACUAUAGAAACGUAGUUGAAUAUUUAUAUCGUUAUUAAUUUAUAAUUUCCGAGUAUUUUACAACAUUGCUUACUUAGGUCUUACCAUGUUUUUUCAGGGAGCAAAAAGUAAAUUUUCCAUUUUCAAAGGAGACAGGUGCAAAGAAGUUUGAGCAAGAUGUGACUUUAUUGCUAAAUAAUCGUGAUUAUCUACAAAGUACCAAGGAACGAGAUGUAAUGAAUUUGGUUAGAACAUAUCAAAGUAUAUAUUAGAGUCAUUGUCCCAUGUUUCCCCAUGGGUCUAUUUAAAUAUUGAAAAUGGCUUUUUCCAAAUAUACCCUAAAAAUUUGCUGACUUACUAUUUGCCAAGCAUUCUGCUUAGCAUUUUAAAGACAUUUUUCAUUUGAUCCCUACAGCCACCCUGCAAAUAUGGCAUUAGAACCAUUUUCCAGAUUAAGGAACUAAAGCUCAAAUGAUUGUGUAAAUAUUUAAAAAGGAGGGGGCUCCCUAGGAGGAGCAUUCAGAGGGUUCAGGAACACUCCAGAAGGCAGUCGUGUGGGUCUUGUUCAGCAGUCCUUUGUGAAGUUAUCAGUAACUGAAGGAACCGGCUCUUUUCUGCUUUUUGGGUGGUCUCUAAUUAUGUCUGUUUUAUCUGUUAAGUUUCAUUGGCUGUUACAUUCGUACCAUCACACAAAUUAUCUUGUUUUACCUACAGCUUAUAGCAUUUUCUUACGUCUGCUAAAUAUAUGAAAGAGUUGAGUUACAAAGAGACUGAUAAGGCCAUGAACCUGAGACAAAGUUUGGGGUUAUAUGUGUGUAUGUGCAGUUUUUCUCAAAUACACCUUGAUCAGAUACUCAAAAGUUAUGUACCAUUGAUAAGUGAUUUUCCUUCCAUUUCUGUUAUUUUUGAAGAAGUUAAAUGUCUUGCUUCAAAUGUUUCCCUGAGCUUCACAUUUUCCUACUUCUGAUUCAUAAUUAAAUCAUUUUGGUUAAAAUUGAGCAGGUUAUUACUUGCUUCUUAAAAGCCAAAAGCUGAGGAUAUCCAGCAUAAAAAUUAUGUGUUUUGGCAUGUGGACAGCAGCUGCUUAAAGUCCCUAAGUGUAAGAAAUCUGAAGUGGACUCACAUGAAUCUGAAGUCUUGUACCUGAGUUCUGUCAAAAUGAGCAGUAAACGCCAUUUUUAAAGUUUGGCUAAAUGACUAAAUUCCUUUGAAUGUCAAACUUUAUUUCUCAGGAAAGUUAGUCACUGCCAAGUUUAUAACAUAAACAUCAUGUUUCUGUUACCUGAAUUCCAAGGACAAGAGGGUAGAUGAGGGCAAGUGAAAGGCACAGGUGAAUUUAAUCCUAGGUGUUUAACUUAAAAGGACACUGUGACAUUGCACAGAGAGAGUCUCUCCAAGGACACGAGUGCCCGUAAAAAUUCUUGGUUGCUUUUAUUGUUUUAUUUUUUUCCCCCCCAGUUAAAAAAGAAACUUAUUUAAAAGUUUCCUGAUUUAAAAAGGUCUUUGCCUGGUAGCCCUGACACACUUCUCACUAGAGUCUCUAAGAAGGUAGAGAAAAGUCCUUAUAUUCUAAACAGUUAUAAAAACUAGAACUAGCAGGAGAAGUGUCUACUGUAAACCAAAUGGAACUGGGUUUAAAAACACAGGCAGAAUAAGUUUUGACCACCUAAAAAUAGGUAGGCAGAGACAUGUCCUCCCCAACUCUGCCUGUAAUUCAGAAAGAGCCUAGCAGCUGUCCCCAGAAUGCUCUUCCUUUCCUCUUUCUAAUCUCCCCAACAGUGCCUUUUUAUUCAGUGGAAGGUCAUAACUCAGAAAAUAACCAGGCAGAGCUGGGAGGGUGGGGUAGGGGCAUUAUUAAUACUGUUACCUCUUGAGAAUCUUACUCCACAAAAGUAAAGUGUUGGAGGUGGGGUAGAGUUAGACCCGUGUUUCCUGAGGGUUUCAGUAUUGUUUGAGUCCUCCAUCCUUCAGAGCCUCAGAAAGCCUGGCAGUAAAGGUAGGAGAAGGUUUGCUUUCAGCAAAACUGUAUUGAAAUGAAAAUCACAUUGGAAAUUGGCCUGGGAACUGUUCAUCUCAACCUGCCUACCAACUCUUGGUCUGAAGCCAGCACCCACGUGGAUCAAGAGUAGCUCAGAGCAGGGCUUCCCUGGUGGCGCAGUGGUUGAGAGUCCGCCUGCCGAUGCAGACGACGCGGGUUCGUGCCCUGGUCCGGGAGGAUCCCACAUGCCGCGGAGCGGCUGGGCCCGUGAGCCAUGGCCGCUGAGCCUGCGCGUCUGGAGCCUGUGCUCCGCAAUGGGAGAGGCCAUAACAGUGAGAGGCCCGCGUACAGCAAAAAAAAAAAAAAAAAAAAAAAAAGAGUAGCUCAGAGCAAACACCAGGUCCGGGCAGAUAUCUCCCUGUAUGGUGAUCAAUAAACGGGGGAAAAAAAAAUAGCGGAGCCUACUGAAGAACAUUGCUCUGUAAAGGAAAGGAGAGAUUGUAUCAAAGAUUUGAAGGAAGAAUAGACCUCCAGCACUGGCCCAAAUGAAAGAGGGUCAGAAAGUAGAUGAUUAUGAGCUGAAAAGAACUGGAUGGGAUGAAAUGGGAGUGAAACCAUUUAAAAAAAAAAAAUUGUAAAGAAAUUAAGAAUGCAGUAUAGCACAUUAAAAUCCAUAGGAGAGGCAAUAGAGAGUAGAAUUAACACAGCUGAAAAUAAAAUUAAUGUUGUAGAGAAGAAACUCAGAGCUCUUCCAGAAUCGAAAGAGAAAAGAGAUGAAAAUGAAAGAGAAGAUUGUAGAUGCAUAGUAAGAAGGUAUAACAUGGGGCUUUUCAGUGUUGAUAAAUGAGUAAUAAGUCAUAUCAAAUGAAAAAGAGCAAACAUUAUAAAAAUAAGCAUGCAUGCAUUUUGUGCAGAUUUGGAAGCGUGGUCCACAUUGUUUAGAUGAAAUCAAUGACAGGCCACCUCUAGAUAUGUUUUGGCAAUUUUUUUUUUAAUUAUAAGAAUGCUGUUAAACGUCUUUCCAAAAUAUCUGGUUAACUAUCAAGGAGCAGAAUUCAGGCUUCCUUGUCUUUUGUAGCAGUAAAUGCCAAAAGAUGGUGGAUGCAGAGUUUUGAGGAAGAAAGAAGGUGACUCAAGACCUUAAUGUGUUGCUUCCUUAUAUAUCAUGUGGAAGGAAUUGAGAGGCGUUCUCUGAUAAGCAAGAGCUCAGUGAGAUAUAUUCAACUUCUCAUGUCACAAGGGCGAACUUCAAAAUUGCCAUUUCAUUGUUAAGCUUUAUAAUUAGAAAGGCAUAGUUUAAAAAUGAAUUCAUUUUGAUUAACUUAAAGAAUAAUUGCCAGAAGAAUAAAACUGUAAGUUAUAUAUUUUCCAAAUACCUAGAAAUACAAGGCGUAUUCCAAAAAACAGACAACAAAGCAUAAAAUUAUUAUUGACGUGGGGAAUGUCAAUACUAUUACUAUGAAAAUUUACAGAAAUACAUGUAUUAACAUAUAUCUACAUACAUAAAUAUAAAGCUGAAUUUAUACCUACCUAUAUUUGUGCGUUCAACAAAUACUAGUUUUGUGUCAGAUGCUAUGCUAACAUUUUGCUACAUUAACUUGUUACUUUUCAUUAGAACUGUAUGACAUUGGCCUUACUAUUAUUAUACCUGUUGUAAAGAUAAAGAGAUUAAAGCUUAAUUAGAUGAUGGCCCAUGGUCACACAGCUCAGGCAGGAGUUGGGGUUUGACUUCCAACCAUGGAAGCCCUGACCCAGAAUUCUUAAGCAGCAGUGUGAUACAGUGGAAGGGCCCUUGGGUGGUCAUGUUCGUGCUGUGCGACACUACUGUAUUUCUGGCCACAGUCUGUUAGCCAGGAGGGCAAGUCAUCCCCUGGCUUGCCAGUGACCUGUGAAGCAGACUGAUAUGCAAAAAAAUGAGUUAAACAACCAGAUUUUCUCACUCUCAGGCGAUAGACCCAAGAAAAUCUAAAGAGAACUAAACAGAUGCGUGAGUUACUCUUGCUUCCAGCAAAAGAACCUCAUCAGAACAGGCUGGGAAGAGGUGAUUAGUUUUAAGGGACAGUUCCUUCCCUCGGCAGGUUGGAAGCUAUGGGGCUUAUUAAGUGGUUAAAAUAUUAACCUUCGAGUUAGCCCUCACUUGGCUAGUGCUUUCAUAUAUAUAUGAAAACAUGACUUUAUAACUUGGUAAGACAUUAAUAUAAAAUCAUUUAUAUAAGUUAUAUAAAUGAUUAUAUAUUAAAUACAUUAUUAUAUAAAGUUAUAUAAUUUAUAUAAAUAUGUUUAUGUAUAAUAACAUUUAUAUAGAUAAUGUUUAUGUAAACAUCUAUCUGCUAGUACAGUGUAUAAGGCAAUAUAGAAAAGUCAUCAUUGAGUUAAUGGUGGAAAUGUAAUUGAUUUGCUACUUCACUAAAGGAGACUUGAAAGGAUUGAAAGCUAGCUCUAACUUGCUCCUUUACUAGCCAUCAUUGUUUGUAGUUACAUGCACAGUUACAUGGUAACUGUCAUUUGUGGUCUAAUCUUCCCCUGAAGGGAAACUUGAGAAACCUGGUUGGCUUUAACAUUUAGAGGAAGUUUAAACAUAUUGGAACAUAAAAUUUACAGUUGUUUAGGUUAAAACUCUGUUUCUUGUCAGACCACAUCUAUCCAGCUCUUCUGUGAUUGGAAUCAUCUAACUUUGGCCUGAAUUAAGGAAGAGUUUCACAAGAUGCACAAAAUAUUUACUCUUGUUUUCUUUACCAGCUUCCUGAGCCUGUGCAGCGGACUGAGACCUCUUCUUAUCUAAAGGCAGUGUGGUCACAUAAGCCAAUUGUCACCAGUUAACUAUUUUCAUCCCCUGAACUGCUUUUGGUGAAUUCCAACCUAGUUAUUACAUCCCUUUAAUAUUUUCAGUAAUUUAUAUUCUUUAACUAUAAGAGUGAAAAUAUUUGUGAGUUUAUUUUGCAGGGGGUGGGGGGUGAUUAGUUAUAGUCUAGCUGUGAGGCUAGUUGCCUUUCAUAUACUCUAGAAGAGAAGGAUGGGGUCAGUUUCACAAUGAUCUUUGUCCAAAAUACAAGACCACUGUCACUCCCACCUCUCAGGCAACCCCUGCUCCAUCUAUUUUCUAGAACAAUUUAAAAUAUAGCCAACGCUUUUGCUUCAGCGUCUCUUGAUUCACUGGAUCUCUAAGGGACCAUCUUUUGCCAGUGUCAGAUGCUGUUUUUUUCGCAUUUUGAAAUAUUCUAAAUUUUAUAUCCUAGCAAAUAUAGUAGUCUUCAGAUUAUGUUGUCUCACAUUCAUGUAUAAUUUCCUAAGAAAAGGAAAUGGAGAGGGUGGGGGUUAAUAGUUAGAGUAAUUAAACCUUUUUAAAAUGAAGGGGAAAAAAAUCUUUUGUUUAUAGGAGGUGAAGAGACCAUUACUGAUUGAUGUUAGCCUUUUCCCAGAAAUCCGUCUCACGGAGUUGAUAUUGAGUGUUUUAGGCAAAGGUGGUGUAGGCUCUGAUGAACUUUGUUACCUUAUUCUGGACCUUUUAUCUAUGGGCAUGUAACUGAAUGAUUACAUGAAUUUUUGAUUGCUAUAAAAAGGUUGUAUUUGCAGUUUUUAAAAUAUAACUGUUUUUAGUUCAUUGCAUCUGAACGCUGCCUUUUUCUUUUCUUAAAUACGUGUCAGAUGAAAUGUUUUACCUCUGAGAUGAAAAUUUUGAAGUUUAUUCUUUAUUGAUAUGUUUGCCGGCACGCAUGAGCAUUUGCUCUGUGCUUUACCUCCAUUAUCUAAUUUAGUGCUAUUUAUAGGUUGAGGCUUAGAAAAAGCAACCUGCCCAGGGGCAAAUACUAGUAGAUGGUGGACAGCUGAGACUUGCAUGCAGACUCUCUGACUUGAGGACGUGUGCUUGCCAGCACCACACUGUACCACCCUCAAAGUGAAAUGCGGGAGGACGGAACCUCUAGUUAGGAUUAACUUCUCCAGAGGUCAUGUCAUAUUAAAGCUACCACAGGUUCUGAAAGCAAUUAAAUAAAUAUUAGGAAAUAGUGGCCUAUAAAUUGUAGGCUUUUUAAAUACAGUCUCACAUCUUUGUAACUUUUGCCCCAUAAUUCAGUUACCCUCAAACUAAUUGAAAAAUCUUAGAGAUAUUAAAAAUGCUUGAUUGACCAAUAUUUUGUUUCUGUUAAGAUCAUGUGCUUGAGCCAUAUGUCAAACCAGAGACUUAUAUUAGACAAUUUGUAUGAAAUCAUCAACCUCUCUAACAGUUUUCUUGCAAUAAAGAGGGAAGAAUAUGUCAUGUAUGAGUUAAAACAGUGACCUCAUACCAUUCAUGCAAAAGUGUUGUGCUAGCGGAGCAGUAUCAGCGUUUGAACCUAGAGUUGGACUCCUCGACAGCAGGGCCAGUCCAGAAGAAUGUGUGUGUUUUAAUGGAUCAUUUAAAUGAAAGUUUAAUCUUUACUCAGAGAAGAGAGCAGCUCUGACUGAGAGCAUUUGAAGCUAGAACAUGGAUCAGGGGUCUGAACGUUUCCAUUUGGCCUCUGGUUGAGCCUUGCUCAGGGAACACAGCAGUCAAACUUCAGUUCAUGUCAGUCAUGGUGUAGGAAGCCAAAGGAAAAGUCCUCAGUUCUAGUGGUUUUCUUAAGUCAUCAGGAUGGAUUUAAUGAUUUUAUUUGAAUAAUUACUUCCAGUGAACCAUAGCUGGGGACUCAGAAAGAGAGGUCUUCCAAUGGUAGACAGGCCCUCAGAUGCUUUCCCAGUGUCCACUACUGCAAUAUGGCUUAGCCCUAAGGCAGAAAAACCCUCUUAGAAGUGAGGGUAUGCUCUGUAGCUGUGAUGGGGGAAAAUUCACUCCCAUGAAAUGGGAGGUAUGCUGGGUUGACCAGAUAGCCCAAAGCUGAGCCAUGGCCAAGGAUUUCUCAAAUUCAUAAGGCCUCUUUCUUGAGCUUGUCUUCUUUCAGACUUAACCCUCAGUUUCUGGGUAAGUUGCAAUACAUCUGUAGGGAAAGCCCCUGGUUUGGGUUUAGUCAAGCUCGCCAGAGAAAACUGGAUCUAAGCGGGAAUAAAAUUUACUGACCCCUGUUCUCAGAGGUUAACAUUUUCAUUUAUGUUUUACAUGACUCAUUUUAAAUUACAGUGCUCUACAGAUAUAGAAAGAAGCCUUCCUCUUCCCACCCUCCUCCAGACACCACAUAAUGGAAAAAGCAAGAAUUUUCUGCAUGAGCAAGGCUUUUUUUUUUUUUUUUUUUUAAACAAAAAGCCAGUCUCUGAUGGGACUUUUUUUCCUGCCAGAAUUCCCACUGGUCCACUGUCGCAAUAUUUACAAAAGGCCACGAUGAAAGAGGAAGGCCCAUUUGAGCCCUUUGCCUCUGUGUUAUGUGAAACGUAACUUUUAUUUCUGUUCUUGGUAUCAGAAGAAUUGUUAUUUUUGAACUUCUCUGAUAGGCUUGUAAACCUACUAGGUCCUUUUAACUCAUAAAGUAUAAUUUUGAUUAAGAAAAGAUUUGUCCCUCUGCUCUAACUAGACACAUAAAACUUUGAAAGGUUUUGAUGUUCUGUUUCCUGUUUUUUUUUUUAAAAAAUGUAUCCUCUCUUAUGAACUCCAACUAGAUGAGAGGAUUUUCCUUAGAGAAAAUUCAGCUCUGGGAACACCAUCCACGAAGGUCGUAACCUAGAACAUUUUUGAAGGGAAGUUUCAGUGAAUUAAAAGAGGGCGGGGUUAGGAAGCAGAAAGUUCUGUUCUACCAUAGCUGUAGCUAAAUAAAUCAUUUCACUCUGGAGCCUGGGCAGUUCUGUAAUUUAUAGCUAAUUGUCCACAGAGAUCACUGAUUACAGUUCAUCAUGGAGGAGAGAGGUGGUCUGGGGCCCCAUUAGGAAUUCAUAUUAAUAGUUGUACCUUUUCUUCUUCCCCAGAAUGUUCACUGGAGAACAUUCUGUUAACCACUGAUCCUCAGUGAUCUUUUAUUUCUACAUAAAAACCUUUUAAAAUGGAAAUAGGUCGACUUGAUUUUUUCUUUAGUCAGGUAGAAGAUAAAUGAAUCAGCUCAAAGCACAAUUAAAAAGUGUGUAUUUGCUUGGGUGCAGGACUGAGGGAUGGAAAAUUCUGUUCUUUUAUUCAGUGGGACUCUACAACCAACUGUGGUAAACACAUGUAUCCCAUUGUGCAGCCUUUCUUUUGCUUUAGGGGCAGUUUGAUCUACUGACCAAAAAGAAGCGACAUUAAGACUAGCUCCCAGCCCAGGGCUUUAGCAAGUGCUCAGUUAAUUUCGGUGGCUCAGGGAGAGAAGCACGUUAGUUUGGGGAUCCAGAUUCUAAACAGUCUGCCAUUGAACAACCUCAUAGACCGGUGACAAGAGACUGUUUAAUUGAAGCUUCGUAAAAUGGUUCCUUAAACUUCAUGGACAAUUGAGUAACUUCAGUUUCCUCUCUUUACUCUUGUUUACUUCCUGCUCUUCUAGAAGGUAUUCUGAUCUCUUACAAUGAGAAGAUUAAACAGCUGUAGCUUAACUUCAAGCAUUGAUUUGGAGAGUUCUGUGGCUGCAUUCAUUAUAUCUUUACUAAGAUUGCAUUCCUGUGGAUUGGGCAGAAGCGUAUAAGCAGCAGUGUGGCUUAUCCAGGGCAAACCCAGAUCCUGUUAACCACUGAGCCUUGAUGGUCUUUUAUUUCUACAUAAAAACCUGUAACACUGGAAUAAUUCGCCUAGAUUUUUUUUUCUUCUAGUUAGGUAGAAAAACAAAAGAAUCGGCACGGAACACAGUUGUGAGGAGUGUUUGUAUGGGUGCAGGACUGAGGGAGGAAAAUUCUGUUCUUCAGGCAAUGGGACUCAGCAGGAAGCAUGUGUUGAAAGUUUCUCACCUAAACGGGUCAUAAUUACAGACUUUAGGAUUUAUUUUUUUGAAUUAGAACGUGAAGCUCACUCAGCGGUCCUUAUGAAAACUUCCCUUCUAACUGCAUAUUUUAUGUCAAAUCAUAAGUUAAAUUUCUGUGGUACAAAGAAGAGUUUUUUGCUGUAACCGUAUUGUAGCCCAUGCUGAAUAUAUCAAUGCUACUUUUCACUGGGUAGUUGAGUGGUCGGAUCCAUUGUUAAUUUUAAGUUUUCUUUCUUGUUUUCUAAGAAUAGUCUUAAGACUGUAUGUUUUAGAAAAAUGCGCUUGUUCAGAACUUCUCAGAUCUAACCUGGCAAUCAGUGGGACUAGAGGUAAGAAAUAAUAGCUUUAACUGAACAUCAUCUAAAAUGCUGUAAUAUUCCAUUGCAUGACACAUCCCAUGUGUCUUACAAUUUCUAAGAAUUCAAGGUAGUGUGCAGUUUUAUUAACCACCCUGCAUCCCUGUAGCACAAGGAAUUAUUUUUGUUAUUGAGCGGACAAAACAGGGGUGAAGUGACUCACAGUUAAUUGCCAGAUUAAAUCAGGCAUCCAAGUCACUCUGCUUCGGGUAGAUUCUCAGAGACUCAGCUGCUGUCUUCAAAAGGAAGAAAUACAUCGCAGUAUCCGGAAAGAACAUAGCGUGCAAUAUGUGACGGGUCUUGUUAACUAUCUCUUGUUUUCUGAUCAAAGUAGCCUCUGGGUUGGAGGAAAAUUUUGUACUACUGUAGUGCAAAUCCUUAUUAUAUUUCAUCAUUAUUUAUUGCGUUGUAAAUGAAUGUAUUUAACAGUGCUAGUUUAGGAAUUCUUGGUAAGUUUAGGAAUGCUAAUCAUUUUUCUUUUUUUUUAAAUUUUAAGAUGGUUGAAUUUUGCAUAUGCUAAGUGUUGGCCUUUGUGGGUGUGUGUAAGAUGCACAGGAGAAUGAGUUAGUGAUGUCACAGGAGCACCAAAGCAACCAUCACACUUUUGUUCAGUGUCCUUUUUCAUUGUUCUUGCUUACGUGGAGCCCUUGUGCACAGGCUGGGCAUCUCGGGGCUUUGAACAAUGCCCUUGGCCAACCGUUAGUCCUAAUUGCUGUGACUAAUUUGCUGUGUGACCUAAAGACAGUAACAUACUUAACUUUGGUUUUAUCAUCUGUAAAACAGAAUUAAUGACACUCUACCAAGCCAAGGCUUUCAGUGAGGCAUCAUCAUCACAAGCAAGCCCCUAAAAUACUAAUUAGAGUAUUAAAAAGGAAAUCUUCUCAGUGAAAACCAAACACUCAUUGAUGCCAGUCAAAAACCUAAAAAACACAUUUGCCACACACACAUACAAAAUUGUUUCUUAGACUUAAGUGAUAUGUUUAGACCUGAAGGAAAUGAAAGGAAUUGAGAUUGUUUAGCUGCGGGAAAUAAAGACCUGGGGCCGAUUUAAACAGUUGAAAAUUAUUUGAAGAAGUGUUUUGUCUCCAUAGUAAUGAACUUUUUUUUAGCUUCUCUGAGGCUAUUCAAAGAAGAAAUGAGGUUCAAUUACAGCAGAGUUACAUAAGUUAGAUAGCAACAGUAGUGCUACCAAUUCUUUGUAAGACAUAAACUUGAACUCACUUCAGUUUCAAUGAAAAGGGCAGUGAAUUUGCCAAAGAGCUGUGUACGUGUUGCCUCAAAAAGCAAAAAAAAAAAAAAAAAACCACAAAAACACUGGAAUAGUGCUUUGAAGACGUUUUCUAGUUAACUCCUGCAUUCUUUCUACAUCUGUGUGUCUUCAUUACCUGUACCAUUUGGUUGAGAGCUGUUUCAGAGUCUCUAAUAUGCCAUCUGGGUAUACUGUGUACUUUCUCUUUGCUGUACUUGGAGGUAAUAAUACUGCCAAAACCAUGCUGGGACAAAAAAAAAAAAAAAGGAAAAAGUCGUGUUUUUGGUAUGUUUCUUUGUGAGGAGGUUUUCAGGUCGUCUUUUUCUCUUACGAAGCCAAAAUUACAGUACCUUAGUAAAUUACAACUCUUUCACUUUUAUAA